This 926-nucleotide ribosomal RNA is filed under the name Oribatida sp. Orib_01. RNAcentral describes it as "bacterial SSU rRNA". It matches the Rfam family "Eukaryotic small subunit ribosomal RNA", at positions 76 to 867 of the family's 1831-position model. Lineage: Eukaryota; Metazoa; Arthropoda; Arachnida; Sarcoptiformes. The record is from RNAcentral.
UACAAGAGAAACCGCGAAUGGCUAUUAAAUCAGUUACAGUUUCUUGGGGCCUGAUUCAUUUCACCAUGAAAUACACGGAUAACUGUGGUAAUUCUAGAGCUAAUACGUGCCCAAAGGGGAUCAUUCCAAAAGAAUGGUUUCUGCGUUUGUUAGCCUAAAAGCCACCAGUCGUUAGUGGCAACACUGCGACUGUCCUUUCCCACGGAAUCACAACAACCAAGCUGAUCGUAUUGCCUUUUGUGCAAACGACUCACCCUUCAAGUGUCUGCCUUAUCAACUUUCGAUGGUAGGUUAUAUGCCUACCAUGGUGAUAACGGGUAACGGGGAAUCAGAGUUCGAUUCCGGAGAGGGAGCCUGAGAAACGGCUACCACAUCCAAGGAAGGCAGCAGGCACGCAAAUUACCCACUCCCAGACCGGGGAGGUAGUGACGAAAAAUAACAAUGCGAGACUCUUAAGAGGCCUCGUAAUUGGAAUGAGAAAAAUUUAAAACCCUUGAACGAGGAUCAAUUGGAGGGCAAGUCUGGUGCCAGCAGCCGCGGUAAUUCCAGCUCCAAUAGCGUAUAUUAAAGUUGUUGCGUUUAAAACGCUCGUAGUUGAAGUUUGUAGCUGGGUAUGGUAUCAUUUGUUGUGCUUUCAUAGGCAAACGGUGUGUCACCUCUUGCUAUUGCCUUCACGGGUGUAGUAAGUAAGGAGCAUGUCUUUGUACUAGUUCACAGCAAUUGCCAUUCACUCACUACUUUUGCUUGCAACAGGCUGAUGCCUUUAACCGGGUGCAGUCGUCGUUGUAAGCAGGUUACUUUGACAAAAUAAGAGUGCUCAAAGCGGGCAAACGCGAUUCAUUUCGAUAUGCUUGAAUUUUUCUCAGCAUAGAAUAACGAAACAUGGUGUGAGAAACAUCUGUAGUGUGUGCCUGUGUGGUGCAUGU